This 94-nucleotide transfer RNA is filed under the name Pseudomonas aeruginosa. RNAcentral describes it as "tRNA-Ser(gga)". Lineage: Bacteria; Pseudomonadati; Pseudomonadota; Gammaproteobacteria; Pseudomonadales; Pseudomonadaceae. The record is from RNAcentral.
CUGGUCGCGUGGGCGGCCGCGCUCGCGGCCGCUGGAACCGGUCGGGCAGGAAACCCGGGUCAAGCUGCACCGUUCGGUGCAGCGGCGGCUGGAC